Odocoileus virginianus texanus is the source of this 2944-nucleotide long non-coding RNA. RefSeq lists it as uncharacterized. Lineage: Eukaryota; Metazoa; Chordata; Mammalia; Artiodactyla; Cervidae. The record is from RefSeq and is a predicted model, not a curated record.
ACCCUCGCCAGGCCCCGCCUCCCCCCUCCGUCCCCCACUCUGCCCAGAAAGAAGAGGCUUUACCGGGCUGCUGGGCGUCCAGGUUUUCGCAGGGGACGUCGUCGUAAAUCACAUCUUCUUCCAGGGCGGGGAAAGUAAACCGCUCGACUGCGAAAGAAGGACAGGGAGGGAGCACGAAUGAGGUUGUGGCGCCCAGCGGGAGGCGGCCGCCAGACUGACAUCAGGACUGCACCAGCCGGCAGCUCGCUCCGCCCGCCCGCGUCCCCGCGGCCCGGACGGGCCAGCAGCCUGCAGCCCGGCCCCUAGGGAGCCCCCGCCGGCCACUGCUCUCGGAAGACUGGGACAGCUGCCUCUUCCCGCCCCCAGCCCUCCAAGGAGCCCUCCCAAAGGCCGCGGAAGCCCCGCCUGCUUCAGCAGGCCUGCGCACCUGGCUGAUGGCACCUGCAGAGAGCCUGAAGCGACGCAGCAGCACUGGGCCGGCCUCGGAAGCCUCUUAAGCCGCCCAGGCCCCCAGGACUGCCCCCAAAGGAGUCACCUGGUACCCAGAGGUGGGGGAGGGCAAGGCAGCCACCCUGACUACACAUGAUGGCAGGGAGCAGGGAUGAUGGGAUUUGGAGAGUGGGGUUAAGGACAGUCCCCCAAAACUAAGCCAGUGGGGUCUUGACUGGUUAAAAAAAAAAAAUCAGCAAAUGAGCAUGCUAUUCCCUUAACACUUUGCUGGGUGGACUAUAAGCAGGGCAGAGCACACACCCUACCCAUGUUAGUAGCUCCGGAAACAGAAUAUUUACAGAGGUCUUGCCCCCUAAAACUGUGUGCCUAGUCUGUGCCCUCUUUAGGGACAUGCAGCCCUGCCGAGAGAGGUUUUGGAAAACCAGCCCCCAGCCCUGCGGGGGACUUGUCCUCCCCCCACAGGCCUUCCAGGAACAGAGGACCAGAUGAACUCUGAAGUUCCUCCCUACCCUGUUGCCUCCUGUGGUCACAGGGCCUCCAAAGCCCUGUAGGACCCUUACCGCCCCCUCCCACCAGCACAGAUUCUGCCUCUCAAGUGGCCAUCAGACCUGCCCACCUCUCUCCAGGUCCCUAGCUCCAGCCGUCGCCUGCCUCCCCCAGACAGCAUCCAGCCCACUACCUUCUCCCAAAGCAUCAGUGAUGUGACUGAAAUGCAGACGUGGCCGCACAGCUGGCUCCCUGGCACCUUUGGGAAAGCAGGGCCUCCAAGGCCUCCCCCCUGCACCCUGGGAGGACCUGGGGAGAUGGCAGCCUCACUGGGCCCUGCUCACCCCUAGACCCUCCCCUCCACCACACCAAGACUCACUGCUUCCCCAGUGACAGGCAUCCCCUUGCCCUCGACCUGGACACUCUGGCCCUGAUGCCUGCUCCUCUGUGUUCUGCCUCGGGCCUCGUGGGCUCUCUCAGCUCCCACCCUCUGCCUGGCACCCGCCCUCUGCACAGUGACUUUAAGCAGCCACAUGUGGCUAGCAGCCCCCAAACAGGAUGGCACAGGCCUAAGCUCCGGCACUAUUGGAGAAGCAUCUCAACUCCAGUUUUGCUGCCAGAAGUGAGCAGAGUCACCCCGGGGGUGAGGGGCGCGUUUCAGUCCCGGGGUAACGCUUUCUGCCAGUGGGAAGUAAAGGCCAAGAUGGGACAGAGCUGGUCUGGAGGGAGUCACCGGGGCCCUGGCCGCUAACGACAGUGCUAGGUCACCACCGUCUUAACCAGGAGACGUCGCAAAGCACCGCGUCCAGCUCAGAUGGAACCAAACAUUCCAGCUGAAGUCAGCAUGAACUAGACUCACAGACUUAGAGAACAAACUUAGGAAUGCAUGUGAAGCAGGCAGCAUGGUCCUCACGCUAAGAUGGGAAAACUGAGCCCCUCAAAGUCUUGACAACUCUACCCAAAGUCACUCGGCUCAUCCGAGGGAGCUGGGACCUGCAGCCUGGACUGUCCGCCUGCAGAGUCUGCGUUCUUCCCACCAGACCAUGUGGAAGGAGGGAAUCUGCAUUCAGACCUUCACCGAAAGCAGGUUCACUGUGCCACAAGGCCACGGAACCUCGCUUGACUCCUCUCCCAUCCAUGUUUUCAAAAGGAGAGAGAGAAAGAGUGCUCAGCAUAGACAGAGUCAGAGACACAAGUUCAAGGCUCUGUCCUGGAGAAAUCGUAACACCCAGCAGCAAGGCAUCUCCACUAGAGGACACGGGAGAAGGCCCUGGGUAAUUUCAAAAGGUGACACGGAGAACGGAUGUGGGUAUUUGGGGGUGAAGUCAGACAACUUUAGAAUGGAUCUGGAAAUAUUUUAUGACAUACUAAAAGCCACUGUGGGGUUGAAAAUAUGAGUCCCUGUUUUCACAUUACCAAAUCGUAGUGAACUUACUUUUUCAUUUUAUUUCAUUUUAAGUAAUUUAAAUAGCUACAUGUGAUUAGUGGCCCCCGAACAGGACAGCGUAGCUCUAAGCCACUGGCCCAACUAGAGAUGCUGGUCUGGGCUCCGGCUUCUGUUGAGCAGCUGUCAGGGCACUGGUCCUGGCUUCCUGGGUGGGGAAGCGGGGGUCCAACAGUCACCUUCACGCCCACCUUGACUGUCCCCACGGCCGAGGGAAGCAGAGAGACCAGGAGCCCCUAAGGAGGGAAGAGGCUGGUGCCCGUGGGUGGACAGGCCUUCCCAGGCCUCGCUACAGACCACCACCCCCCGUGCUCUGCACGUUGGGGUGUCUCCUCUGCACCCAGGGCUCCGCAGAGUGCUUGAGGACAAGUGCGUGUCCUAUUAUGACCAUCUUACAGAUGGGAAAAGUGAGGUUCAGAAUAGGCAAUUACCUUGCCCCAGAUCACCUGACCAGCAAGCGCCAGAUCUGCCAUUUACCUGCAAAGUCUCAUCCUCCUCGACCCCAGGCAGGGGGAGGGAAGAGACCCCCCAGGCGAGGGAAGCAGUGGGCAUGGAAGGAAAUGA